UCUUAUCGAAGUUAGCGGCGGACGGGUGAGUAACACGUGGGUAACCUGCCCAUAAGACUGGGAUAACUCCGGGAAACCGGGGCUAAUACCGGAUAACAUUUUGAACCGCAUGGUUCGAAAUUGAAAGGCGGCUUCGGCUGUCACUUAUGGAUGGACCCGCGUCGCAUUAGCUAGUUGGUGAGGUAACGGCUCACCAAGGCAACGAUGCGUAGCCGACCUGAGAGGGUGAUCGGCCACACUGGGACUGAGACACGGCCCAGACUCCUACGGGAGGCAGCAGUAGGGAAUCUUCCGCAAUGGACGAAAGUCUGACGGAGCAACGCCGCGUGAGUGAUGAAGGCUUUCGGGUCGUAAAACUCUGUUGUUAGGGAAGAACAAGUGCUAGUUGAAUAAGCUGGCACCUUGACGGUACCUAACCAGAAAGCCACGGCUAACUACGUGCCAGCAGCCGCGGUAAUACGUAGGUGGCAAGCGUUAUCCGGAAUUAUUGGGCGUAAAGCGCGCGCAGGUGGUUUCUUAAGUCUGAUGUGAAAGCCCACGGCUCAACCGUGGAGGGUCAUUG
This 562-nucleotide ribosomal RNA is filed under the name Bacillus cereus. RNAcentral describes it as "bacterial SSU rRNA". It matches the Rfam family "Bacterial small subunit ribosomal RNA", at positions 81 to 628 of the family's 1533-position model. The record is from RNAcentral. Lineage: Bacteria; Bacillati; Bacillota; Bacilli; Caryophanales; Bacillaceae.